RNAcentral lists this ribosomal RNA (393 nucleotides) under Anthopleura krebsi. Its description in RNAcentral is "partial 16S ribosomal RNA". It matches the Rfam family "Bacterial large subunit ribosomal RNA", at positions 1985 to 2427 of the family's 2925-position model. The record is from RNAcentral. Lineage: Eukaryota; Metazoa; Cnidaria; Anthozoa; Actiniaria; Actiniidae.
GGCCGGUAUGAAUGGCGUUACGAAGGCCCCGCUGUCUUAAGAGGACUCUCCAUGAAAUUGAAUUCGUAGUGAAGAUGCUACGUCCAUAUUGUAAGACGAAAAGACCCCAUUGAGCUUUACUAAAGACUUGCAUGGCUCAAAAGAAUUUGAUUUAAAUAAAGAGUUUAGAUAAUGUGGGAUCCGUUUCCGGUUAAUGAAACACCACUCUUUUAUUUUAAGAGAGCUAACAUUACAGGGAUAGUGUAAGUUGGAUAGUUUGGUUGGGGCGACCACCUUUUAAAAGGUAACGAAGGUGAGCUUAAGGUCCGUAGUUAAUAGCCGGUGGCCUGACUGCAAGGGGGACGUCUCGAGCAGACACGUCCUUAGGGAUGUGGACUAUAGUGACCCGUCAUC